This 431-nucleotide ribosomal RNA is filed under the name uncultured ammonia-oxidizing bacterium. Its description in RNAcentral is "bacterial SSU rRNA". It matches the Rfam family "Bacterial small subunit ribosomal RNA", at positions 207 to 622 of the family's 1533-position model. The record is from RNAcentral.
CAAGACCUUGCGCUUUUGGAGCGNGCCGAUGCCUGAUUAGCUAGUUGGUGAGGUAACGGCUUNACCAAGGCGACGAUCAGUAGCUGGUCUGAGAGGACGACCAGCCACACUGGGACUGAGACACGGCCCAGACUCCUACGGGAGGCAGCAGUGGGGAAUUUUGGACAAUGGGGGAAACCCUGAUCCAGCCAUGCCGCGUGAGUGAAGAAGGCCUUCGGGUUGUAAAGCUCUUUCAGCCGGNAACGAAACGNGUCACGGCUAAUAUCCGUGACAACUGACGGUANNCCGGAAGAAGAAGCACCGGCUAACUACGUGCCAGCAGCCGCGGUAAUACGUAGGGUGCGAGCGUUAAUCGGAAUUACUGGGCGUAAAGCGUGCGCAGGCGGUUUUGNUAAGUCAGAUGUGAAAGCCCCCGGCUUAACCUGGGAACU